GUGCCUUUUGUAGAAUGAACCGGCGAGUUACGAUUUGAUGCAAGGUUAAGCAGUAAAUGUGGAGCCGUAGCGAAAGCGAGUCUGAAUAGGGCGUUUAGUAUUUGGUCGUAGACCCGAAACCAGGUGAUCUACCCUUGGUCAGGUUGAAGUUCAGGUAACACUGAAUGGAGGACCGAACCGACUUACGUUGAAAAGUGAGCGGAUGAACUGAGGGUAGCGGAGAAAUUCCAAUCGAACCUGGAGAUAGCUGGUUCUCUCCGAAAUAGCUUUAGGGCUAGCCUCAAGUGAUGAUUAUUGGAGGUAGAGCACUGUUUGGACGAGGGGCCCCUCUCGGGUUACCGAAUUCAGACAAACUCCGAAUGCCAAUUAAUUUAACUUGGGAGUCAGAACAUGGGUGAUAAGGUCCGUGUUCGAAAGGGAAACAGCCCAGACCACCAGCUAAGGUCCCAAAAUAUAUGUUAAGUGGAAAAGGAUGUGGCGUUGCCCAGACAACUAGGAUGUUGGCUUAGAAGCAGCCAUCAUUUAAAGAGUGCGUAAUAGCUCACUAGUCGAGUGACACUGCGCCGAAAAUGUACCGGGGCUAAACAUAUUACCGAAGCUGUGGAUUGUCCUUUGGACAAUGGUAGGAGAGCGUUCUAAGGGCGUUGAAGCAUGAUCGUAAGGACAUGUGGAGCGCUUAGAAGUGAGAAUGCCGGUGUGAGUAGCGAAAGACGGGUGAGAAUCCCGUCCACCGAUUGACUAAGGUUUCCAGAGGAAGGCUCGUCCGCUCUGGGUUAGUCGGGUCCUAAGCUGAGGCCGACAGGCGUAGGCGAUGGAUAACAGGUUGAUAUUCCUGUACCACCUAUAAUCGUUUUAAUCGAUGGGGGGACGCAGUAGGAUAGGCGAAGCGUGCGAUUGGAUUGCACGUCUAAGCAGUAAGGCUGAGUAUUAGGCAAAUCCGGUACUCAUUAAGGCUGAGCUGUGAUGGGGAGAAGACAUUGUGUCUUCGAGUCGUUGAUUUCACACUGCCGAGAAAAGCCUCUAGAUAGAAAAUAGGUGCCCGUACCGCAAACCGACACAGGUAGUCAAGAUGAGAAUUCUAAGGUGAGCGAGCGAACUCUCGUUAAGGAACUCGGCAAAAUGACCCCGUAACUUCGGGAGAAGGGGUGCUCUUUAGGGUUAACGCCCAGAAGAGCCGCAGUGAAUAGGCCCAAGCGACUGUUUAUCAAAAACACAGGUCUCUGCUAAACCGUAAGGUGAUGUAUAGGGGCUGACGCCUGCCCGGUGCUGGAAGGUUAAGAGGAGUGGUUAGCUUCUGCGAAGCUACGAAUCGAAGCCCCAGUAAACGGCGGCCGUAACUAUAACGGUCCUAAGGUAGCGAAAUUCCUUGUCGGGUAAGUUCCGACCCGCACGAAAGGCGUAACGAUUUGGGCACUGUCUCAACGAGAGACUCGGUGAAAUCAUAGUACCUGUGAAGAUGCAGGUUACCCGCGACAGGACGGAAAGACCCCGUGGAGCUUUACUGUAGCCUGAUAUUGAAAUUCGGCACAGCUUGUACAGGAUAGGUAGGAGCCUUUGAAACGUGAGCGCUAGCUUACGUGGAGGCGCUGGUGGGAUACUACCCUAGCUGUGUUGGCUUUCUAACCCGCACCACUUAUCGUGGUGGGAGACAGUGUCAGGCGGGCAGUUUGACUGGGGCGGUCGCCUCCUAAAAGGUAACGGAGGCGCUCAAAGGUUCCCUCAGAAUGGUUGGAAAUCAUUCAUAGAGUGUAAAGGCAUAAGGGAGCUUGACUGCGAGACCUACAAGUCGAGCAGGGUCGAAAGACGGACUUAGUGAUCCGGUGGUUCCGCAUGGAAGGGCCAUCGCUCAACGGAUAAAAGCUACCCCGGGGAUAACAGGCUUAUCUCCCCCAAGAGUUCACAUCGACGGGGAGGUUUGGCACCUCGAUGUCGGCUCAUCGCAUCCUGGGGCUGUAGUCGGUCCCAAGGGUUGGGCUGUUCGCCCAUUAAAGCGGUACGCGAGCUGGGUUCAGAACGUCGUGAGACAGUUCGGUCCCUAUCCGUCGUGGGCGUAGGAAAUUUGAGAGGAGCUGUCCUUAGUACGAGAGGACCGGGAUGGACAUACCUCUGGUGUACCAGUUGUCGUGCCAACGGCAUAGCUGGGUAGCUAUGUGUGGACGGGAUAAGUGCUGAAAGCAUCUAAGCAUGAAGCCCCCCUCAAGAUGAGAUUUCCCAACUUCGGUUAUAAGAUCCCUCAAAGAUGAUGAGGUUAAUAGGUUCGAGGUGGAAGCAUGGUGACAUGUGGAGCUGACGAAUACUAA
This 2300-nucleotide ribosomal RNA is filed under the name Staphylococcus aureus. Its description in RNAcentral is "partial 23S ribosomal RNA". It matches the Rfam family "Bacterial large subunit ribosomal RNA", at positions 601 to 2904 of the family's 2925-position model. The record is from RNAcentral. Lineage: Bacteria; Bacillati; Bacillota; Bacilli; Caryophanales; Staphylococcaceae.